Molecule: long non-coding RNA, 777 nt
Filed under: Gallus gallus (chicken)
Lineage: Eukaryota; Metazoa; Chordata; Aves; Galliformes; Phasianidae
Source: RNAcentral
CGUCAUAAGUGAAAGAAUCCUUUAAGGGUAGUUUGCUGGCAUUAGGAUGGGUCUGAAUAACUUUGUAGAAAUACGCAUAUUGUCGAGCUGUGUUUUUAUAUUGGCUAAAAACAUCGUGUAUGGCCUGGGUUGACCGAAGAUACUGCACUUCAUCUUCUUCAAAGUAGAGAGGAGUAUCAUAUUCACUGGGGAGAGUCUGGAUGUAGGGCAGCCAGAAAGAGUUGGGGUUGGCUCGCUCACAAAGAAGAUGGAAUGCCAAUGUUAUAUUGCCCAUGGCUUGAAGAAUUCGAUCUUGAGAAUACAAGGAACCUAAUACUGAGUUUUUAGCUGACUCAACUGUCAUCAACAGUUUUCUAGGUACCCACAGAAAUAACUCUUCAGCCUUUAUCUCUCUCGUGGCUUUCAAACCAAACCCCUCCUCUUCAAAGUUAGCUAUUUCAAAACCCUCUGUGGAUGCUCCGUUUUCAGUUGCCCAUUUUAUCAGUUCAGGGAAAUAGUCAUCUCUUUUUCCAUCAAAGACAACAGACAAACCUUUUUGUUUCUUGCGAAUUUUCUCAACAAGUGAACGAAUCUGUAUAUAUUCUUCCCAUUCCUUACCAGGACCUGGGGUAGGACUGCUGCAUUUUUGCAACAACUCACUCGUCAGAUUCAACAGUUCCUUCGGAGAUACUGCUGCUGUGGCUCCUGUACCUGACUUCUGUGUUUUCACUCUGCUUUUCUUCCCCAUCUUCCAACCUUCCAGAGAUCCCAGAACUCUUGCAAUGCUCUCUGUUCCCC